This is a long non-coding RNA of Cavia porcellus (domestic guinea pig), 5604 nucleotides long. RefSeq lists it as uncharacterized. Lineage: Eukaryota; Metazoa; Chordata; Mammalia; Rodentia; Caviidae. The transcript is spliced from 2 exons. The record is from RefSeq and is a predicted model, not a curated record.
UGGCCCGGUCAGGAAGAUGGCAUGCACAGGUCAGGCAUGCAGCAGCAGGAGACCAUUCAUCAGCCCAAUACGGGAGCUGCCAGGGGCAGCGCGCAGGAUGAGAGCCAGCUGCUAGCUCUGCUUCCAAGACCAGACUGAGAAGGCAACAAAGCCCAAACCACAAAGGAGAACAUGAAGCUGGAUUUGAAGAGGAGAAAGCAAAGAUUUCUACCCAGAGCUGAGGUGUUUUCAGUGUCCCACUGCCUAGAGCAUGUGACAGAGCCCCAUAGGAGGCACAGAAGGCCUUCGGAGGGACCCUCCUUGUCCCCACCGCUUCUUCUUCCUGCAGCCCUCGGCUUGGGCAUGGAGAGCUUGGAGCUUCUGGCCCCGCACACCUGCCUGGCCGGGCUGCAUUCUGCCUCCACAGUCCAUCCCAACACCCUGAUCUCCGAAGCCUGACUGCUGAGGGACUCCCUCUUCUACAAGCCACCCCUUGGGCUACUUAUCUUAUGGUAAUCAAGACUGAAAUUUCACAGGAAGUUCUCCAAAUGUGUGUCGACUAUGAAAGUAGCAUGUAUUUGAAUUCUGUGUGCAUAAUCACACACAUGCAUACAUGCACCCAUACAAGCGCAUGUACCAUCACCACUUCCUGCACCUGUGGGCUUCUGGGUUCACCUUAGGCCAUCUGCCUUAAGAUUUCUAACUAGGGACCUGGCAGUGAGAUGGAUGCAGUGAAACAGUGAGCUGUAGAUCAGAAAAUAAGUUUGAAACUUGGAAAUGGGUCCCAGUGCUCAGAGGUUUCCUCUGCAUGGGUCUUCAACUCAGAUGAGCUACACAACUACAGGGGCCUCACGUACACACUCCUCUCGGCCCCUCCAGCUUCGCGGGCAACUGGCCCCGGCUAAGUGGCUUAUCUGAAGAGUCAAAUCUUAUUUUCAUUUUGAAUUGACUCUUUCUCCCAAAACACUGCAGAAUGUGAAAGAUGCUGGGGAAAAAGUUGAGCCUUAUAAAUGUCAAAGCCAGUGAACGAAAUAGAGGAAGACAGGUGAGUGCAGAAAAGGACUGCGUCUGCGCUGCAGAGCGUGCACAGAGCUGCAAGAGCAGGUAUGGCCACAGGAGAGGGUCUGGGAGCAGUCAGCUGUACUGAGGCAUAACUCUGUUCCCAAAACCCAGUUUUCAGGCAGUGUGGCAUGAAGCUGGCAGGCGGAGAGAAGAGGGCUCUGAAUCUGGCACAGUUUGUAUUUCAUUAACACAGCUUAUCUCUUAUCAGGAGAACAACUGCUAGGUUUAAGAAUGCUGAGGACUGAUUAUUGAGGCAGGUGCCACAAGCCCAUAGUUCUGUGGGCUCCUAGAGACCUAAGAAAGUUCCUGCCACCCAGGGAGUGACAAAAGCUCUCUCAGUAACUGGGAUUGCAUUGCUAGAGUGAUCCGCAACACAUCAGUGAUGGAGUUGGAACAGUAUUUCUAUUAUCACAUACCAUGUACAUUGUGGGUUAAAUAGGCUUUGCAGAUGGCCAGAAGCUGUGAUCGUUGGCUAAAAAGAUGUUAUUCUAGGGCAAAACAUAUCUUUAAAUAACCAAAAUCUGACUUACAAAUCACCUUUCCUGUUGUAAGCUAGGGACUACCAUGUAAAUCACUGAUAUGCCUCCCAGGCAGGCCUUGUGCCACUGAGCUAUGUCCCUGGCCCAAGGGUUUCCUCUUCACUCAUUUUAAAAUCCAAUUCCCCUUUUGGGGUGUCUGCCUUCACACAGAAAGCAUGAAUCCUGGUCUCCACCUCCAUGCUGCCUGCUUUGCAAGGAAGGACAGUCUCCGCCGCAUGGAGAUCCCUGCAGAGAAGCUUUCAGUAUUGUCUGUGGGCCAGCGAGUCUAACUCUGGAUCCAGCAUUGGGAUGUACACUACUGCAGUGAUUGUUUGGCCUUUAUCACACUAUAGGGGUUUUUAAAAUAAGAAAGUAAUUGCCAAAAUAUAAGGUGGGACGAUGGCUUUGCAGCAACAUUAAUGGAAAGACUUAGGAGCUGAAGUGAGCUGAGCUAGAGGCCUGUGGUUAAAAAGUAACAUGAUAUCCAGGCUCAGGGGUGCGAACCUGUAAUCCUCGCAUUCAGGAGGCUGAGGCAGGAGGAUCACCCUGAGUUCAAGGACAGCUUGGACUACACAGGAAGACGCAAUCUCAAAAGCCAAAAAAGGAAAGUAACAUAAUUAAGGAGGGAGGGAGUGGAUGCAUGUCCCUCCUUACCCUAACUCUCUGAAUGACUCAUCAGUGCAGUGGUGUAUGCACCUGUACACUUGGCACCUGGGAGACUAAGAUGGAAGAAUCACUUGAUUCCAGGAGUUCAAGGUCUGCCUGGGCAACACUGUGGCACACACACACACACACACACAGACACACACACACACACAGGUAUGUACACACAUGCAUGCGCACCUAUGUACCCACAGGGGCACGCAUAUACAAAUUCAUACACAAAUCACCACCAACAAAACACUUACUGAAAGCAUAAUAAAACAUACACCAUAAAAAUAUAAGCAGAAUUAUUCUAGCUGUGAAAUUUAGGAUUAUAUUGGUCUUGUAUCAACAUAAAAGAAAAUCAAAGGUACAAACUAAAAACUAAGAAAUAAAAACAAGUUCCAGCUCCCAGAUAGAUCAACUCAUGCAAUGACAGACAGUGCUCCCCCUAAGCCUGGCCCAGGCCCCAGCCCCAGCCCCAGUCCCAGCCCGCCUCCCAUUCCUCCCUUGCAGCCAUCAGUGCCUCCACUGAUUAGUAUGGAACCCAGACUGGACUUCCCAGCGAUGCUUCAGUGACAGACACGGAAAACUUCAGGGCGCUGAGGGCCGAUCUCUGCACAUGGGCCAAGCAGGCCCCAGGUGAGUCCAGGAUAUAGUCAAGGUCAAGGCGGGCCAACCAGCUGCCCCUUCCCUGGGACAUGGGACCACUGUAGACCACAAACCUGAGGAAGACUGGGGAAGGAGAGAGAGAAAGGCAGAAACAGAGACAGAGAGGGGCAGAGAUAAAGACAGACAGACACAGAGACACAGAGACAAGGCGGUUUUGAAGGAGUACAACCAGCAUAGCAGGGGUCCAGCGUCUGCCAUGAGGAUGGCCAGCAAAGAUCUCAGGGCAAUGGAGGGGGAGGGGAUGUAGCCCUUACCUAUGAAUACUUAAAGGACCUUGUUUGUUUUCCCUGCAUUGCCACCAAAGGCUGGGAACUAGAGAGACCUAAAUUUCAGCCCAAGCUAAGAAAGUUUUUCUCCCUGCAGCUUAUCAGGACUUGGAAGACCUUGAUCUCAUCAAAUUCUAGAUACAGAAACUCAUAUUCCCCCAGCAAGGGCUGGGCCACCUCAGUGGGUUAGGCUAGAGCUGGGGCUUUACAGCAGGGCAGCAGCUGCUCCCUAACACCGUGGCCAUGGAGAGCACCUGGGCCAGGCCCCUCAGUGGCCAGCUCUGGGGUCUUCAGCCUUCCAAGUCGGCCUGCUUGGUCUCCGAAAGCCCCACCCCAGAGGAGAGCCUUCUUACAAAGAUAUCUCACUGAGAGCACAGUGAAGCUCCACUGGGCAGGGGCUCUGUAAGGAGGUCAGGCAUCGACAUGGGGACUCAGGCUCGGUGACCUUUACGGUCCCACUGCACCCCCAUUCCAGGUGUCUUUGAUUCCAAGGGCUCAAUGGUUAGUAAUGGACUAAUUACCAAAUUUGCAGAAUGAAGGAAAAGAAUUUUGUUUAAUCCAGGGGAACAAAUCCAUCAUAAAUCUUACCAAAUGGGUAAACACAACUGGGCAGGGACAUAGGAAUAGACCCAAGAAAACAAAAUGGCCCAGAGUUUUGCCACACUGUACAGUUCAUUAGCACAAUUCAACACACAGCAAUAAAAAGCAGUCACAGUAGAGGGCCUGGCUGCCGCCGCCCCAGGAGGCUAUCUGCUGAUUUCAGAAGGCGGGCAGUCAGGGGGAGACUCCUGCUGUAGAUAUGGUUGUCCAAGUUAAUUAUCCCUAUGCUUUCAGAUGAAGUGAAUGGUAUUCUGUUUAUCUAGGUCAAAUAUUUGCAGCUGACUCUAUCCCUUGACAGUCAUACAAAAGUACCUAAUGUUGUCCUUUUGGGCAUUAGAAGAAAAGAUCAGGUCAAAAAACCCACAAAAUACAGCACCCUUCUUUUAUAGGCAUCACAUAGUACUCUUAUUUCUAAGAUACUCUAAUUAGAACCAACUCUGAAUGAAAUAGUUUUUAAAGCGGGUGUUUUUUAGAAAGAUACAAAGAAAAGAAAUUUUAGUGGCCAAUUAUCCCUGUUUCUUGCUUUAUGUUAUGUUUUGUCUUGAGUUUAUAGGAUACAUUUCCACACAGAGAUAAUGAAAUCUGGCUUCUGGCCCCUGCAACCAUUCCUAAAACAAUAAAUACCGCCAUGCAGGGUUAACAGCAUGGUGUGAUCCAUCAUACAAGACCCGUAAAGUGCUGCUAGUGGUGACCAGAACAAAGAGAGACACCCGCAUGAAGAAACUUUAUAUGCCACAAUGUAUCUGGCACAGCUGAGGGUGAGCAUGUGACUUAAUCUAUAAAAUAAAAUCUUUAGGCGAGUAAGGUGCUUCUCAAUGGCAUGCACCAGAUGUCCUUUAAAGGUGGUCUCAUUUUAGGUCAAAAUGAGUUGGACCCCACUCGGGAGAGGCAGGGUAGAUGAACCUGUCUGGAAGCAAGUUAGGAUUACCAGGGACUCUGAUGAGGAGGGCAGGAGAGGAAUGAAGCCAUCAGGAAACUGCAGGAGCACUGAGCCUUUAGGGCAGGGGUGGCGAACCUACAGCACAAGUGCCACAACCAGCUGUUUGGCAUCAAUGAAAGAUCUGAAUGGCUUGCCAUGGCUGACUUAGAGCUCGGUACAAACUUCUCUUAGCCAACGUCCCUUUCUGCCACCUAUUCUGUACUAACUAGAGCCAGUGUAGCCAACUACGCAGACCACUUGCACGCACCAAUGAAUCAGAAUUCCCUGGUGACCAAGGCCCCCAGGUGAUGCUGUGCCCCGCAGAAGCUGGAGAAGCACUGGCCCAAGAGACGCUGAAGUCUCUGAGCUCUCAUUUUACACACAAAAAGUUGAGGCUCACAGUAGUCAGGUGACUUGCUCAAAGCUGCACCAUUAACUCUUAACAGCCAGAUGGCAAACAAACACUCCUUGAUGUUUCACCUGGAAAAACACAGUAGUGGUGAAGAACAGGGCCAGGAAGCCAGGAGAACUGGAUUUGGAAGCUCUCUGUGGAAGCUACGACAGUUAUAUUCCACGAGUAGUGUAACGUGAUGAUUCAAGCUUACAUAGAGAAAUGCCUGAAGUGCUGGCAAAAUGUGAUUUCCCGUAUUUCCCACCUUCUAGGUGCUCACAGGUGCUGGGAGAGGCCAGGUGCACACCAGCUCGGGGUAAGGGCUUGUCCCUCCGAGUCUUGUUGGGUGGAGAAUGCAGACUGCCACCACCUCCCUCAAGGGUGGAGCUCCAGGCUGCAUCCCGAGAGCUUUAGGGCUGUGGACCGUGGCUUAUAUAGAUCCCUUGAUGGCUCCAGCCCUGUUUUCUAACACGGCGACAUGCUCACUUUUGGCAGGUUAAUUGGCAGAGUUGUCAGCACAGCUGCCUUUUGUUGCCAAUAAACUUGGGUCCCUGA